CCGGUCCGACGUUAGCUAGUUGGCGGAGUAAAAGACCCGACCAACGGCGACGAUCGGUAGCUGGUCUGAGAGGACGAGCAGCCACACUGGGACGUGAGACACGGCCCACGACUCCUACGGGAGGCGAGCAGUGGGGAAGUUUUCCGCAAUGGGCGAAAGCCUGAUGCAGCGACGCCGCGUGGGGGAGUGACGGCCUUCGGGUUGUAAACUCCUUUCGCAACCGACGAAGCUUUUGUGACGUAGGUUGAGAAGAAGCACCGGCUAACUACGUGCCAGCAGCCGCGGUAAUACGUAGGGUGCGAGCGUUGUCCGGAAUUACUGGGCGUAAAGAGCUCGUAGGUGGUUUGUCGCGUCGUUUGUGGAAUACCGCAGCUUAACUGCGGGGUUGGCAGGCGAUACGGGCAUAACUUGAGUGCUGUAGGGGAGACUGGAAUUCCUGGUGUAGCGGUGGAAUGCGCAGAUAUCAAGAGGAGCACCGAUGGCGAAGGCAGGUCUCUGGGCAGUAACUGACGCUGAGGAGCGAAAGCA
RNAcentral lists this ribosomal RNA (528 nucleotides) under uncultured bacterium. RNAcentral describes it as "bacterial SSU rRNA". It matches the Rfam family "Bacterial small subunit ribosomal RNA", at positions 232 to 761 of the family's 1533-position model. The record is from RNAcentral.